RNAcentral lists this ribosomal RNA (840 nucleotides) under Triticum aestivum (bread wheat). RNAcentral describes it as "partial small subunit ribosomal RNA". The record is from RNAcentral. Lineage: Eukaryota; Viridiplantae; Streptophyta; Magnoliopsida; Poales; Poaceae.
UACUGGUGUUCUUUGAAAGUCAGCCUGUACGUUUCUGAAGAAUCGUGGGAGAAGCUACCCGAUCUUAAUGCACGUGCUUUUCCAUAACUGACCGAGUGUUCUAGUGCGACGUCGUAUCGGUGUUCUUUUGUUUCAACCCUCGACACGUUCCGCACGGCCUUCUAGUACCCGUAGAACGGCCACUAGAUACAUGAUGAGGGAAACAACCAUGAGCUCAGUGAUCCUUUCGAUUUACGCGAUAGUAGACCUCAACAUUGUUCGGUGUUGGGGCCUCCCCUAACCCACGUUGGUAGUGUACCGUGCGAGCUGCCAACGGGGUUCUCGACGCCGUUACACUCGAAACCGAUGGGGAAGCCGUAGCCUAGGUCCACAAGGGCCCCCGGACUGAAGUUGGAGUGGACGUUGUUGUGGAGAGUAGGGGGGUCUGAUAAGAACUCCCUGCUAUAGUGGCUCCACUAGGUGAAACUACUGGGAAAAAAGUUAUAUUUGAAGUAGUUCCGGAGGAAGAGCGUAUGGUAGGGGUAUGUUGGACCACAGUCACAAAUGUUGAACAGAAACCAUGGAGGACCCUCCAGGAAGAGAGAGCCCCGGCGACAAGAUUUGUAAUGGCCGACACCGGACCUACAUAUGAGACAGCCUCUGCUACGGUGGUGUAAUUUUACGUCGUGGCUCACGGACCUAGGUCCUUAAGGUCUCUACCACCGAUACGUGUUGACAUUUUUAUGGAGGCCCACAACAGCACAACUACACCUGCCACUGCCGUCAAAAGCCAAGUUUAAACAGAUGUUGGUUUCGUUUUCGUUGUAACCACGUGCGAGAUCCUUCUCGAGUGUUGAUAUU